GAUAUGUAUCGACAAAGGGUUAUGGGACAAGUUUGUUUUCAAAACUGGAUAGCCUACAAAUACAAUUAGCCAUGACACAUUAAUUUCAUAAUCAAAGUGUGCUGACUUCCAGCAUAGCAAAUCAACCAGAUAACACCAAGCAGCGCAUUUGCAUUGAAUUAAACACUGAAGGUUUGAAUUUUCACGUGCACUGAGGAGGUGUUCUGUGAGCUGUGUAGGGAAAGGAAUACUUCUGCUUUCCAGCCACCACCGUCAGCUGAGCCAUCUUGCACCCCUCCUCGCUCAGAGAUGUUGCUUGAGGCUGAAGUCAGCCAGCUCAGCUCACUGAGCCAAUGGAACUGGAGCUCCUUUCUCACUGUCUUCAUCCCUGGGACUGGUGCUCAUCCUGGCAGGCUUGCCCUGACGUUGGACUUUCUUACCUCCUGUGUGCAGUACCUCUGAGCUGAACUGGUGACUAGGGGGGACAGGAGAGCAGGGAAGGAGAAGCUCAUGGUUUCCUGCUGCAGCCUGGGCUCAGAGGAAGUCAUUGUUUCCUGCAGCUCGGGUAAGGCAGCGGUACGACCCAGCUGCAUAACUGCUCUGAGAAACAGAGAUCUAUUUAGAUAAGCCAAAAGCUGGGGAUGACCGAGCAGAGAGCAGCACUGAGCAUGGCUGGAAAGAGCAACGCCAGCCCCACUGCCGCAGCAGGAGCCUCCAAUCUGCCAUGGCUUUGAGGUGGUGUUUAUGGGAUGCUGUCAUGAUGGAUGAUCCCACCAUCGCCCUGCAAGAACGUGGGGUAUCCAGAUCAGCCCCAUGUCUGCAGGAUCUUCUCUUUCCAACCAGCAACAACGACAGAAGGAAGCAGAGAGUGUCCAGACCUCUCAGACAAGCAGUGACUCUGUGAUCUACAUCAGUUUGACUAGAUGUAAUGAAAGAAGAGAAGAGAACUCAGCAGAAUGCGGUACAACAGAGGCAAGGCAGCAAUGCAGGACGUGUGGCUGCAGGUAAUGCGGGCACCCCAAAGUGGGCAGAAGGAGAAAUGAAGGCAAACCCCUCAGUAAGUCCAAUCCUGCACGGAUGUACCAGAGCUGUGCUGGGGGAACUGCAGGGAAAGUUCUGCUCCAGGUGGGACCUGGGGAGUCAAUCUGUGCUGAGGGAAUAAAGUGCUUUUCUCGGAUGUACUCCUCUGCAUCUUCUGUUUCUCUUUAAGACGACCCCGAGAUGUGCGACGUUCCCUUUCAGAGAGAUAAAGCACUCCACCUGAAGCAAACUCCAGAUGUGGCUGCAGCAUCAUUUUGGGUAUUGACUUCAUUCUAUCGCUUUGCAACUGCAGCAGCACUCCUUCUUAAGGCUUUCAGGUAUCCCAGGGUUUUCAGAAAGCAGUUACAUGUUGUUAAUGUCAGACAUCUCCCCAUCCAUCCACUCACUUGGAGCAGUUUGUUUGGAGAACCAAUUUUCUGUUCCACAACGAUGCAUCCCUUGCAUC
This 1465-nucleotide long non-coding RNA is filed under the name Gallus gallus (chicken). RNAcentral's name for it is "long non-coding RNA NONGGAT006645". The record is from RNAcentral. Lineage: Eukaryota; Metazoa; Chordata; Aves; Galliformes; Phasianidae.